ACUCAAAGGAAUUGACGGGGGCCCGCACAAGCGGUGGAGCAUGUGGUUCAAUUCGAUGCAACGCGAAGAACCUUACCGGGGUUUGAACUGUGGGGGAAAGACGCUGAGAGGCGUAACCCUAGCAAUAGGCCGCCACAGAGGUGCUGCAUGGCUGUCGUCAGCUCGUGUCGUGAGAUGUUGGGUUAAGUCCCGCAACGAGCGCAACCCUUGCUUUUAGUUGCUCAUCUGUCGUAAGACAGUUAGCACUCUAAAAAGGACUGCUGGUGAUAAACCGGAGGAAGGUGGGGAUGACGUCAAGUCAUCAUGGCCUUUAUGUCCCGGGCUACACACGUGCUACAAUGGCUGGUACAAAGGGUCGCAAAGUCGCAAGGCGGAGCCAAUCCCAGAAAACCAGCCUCAGUUCGGAUUGCACUCUGCAACUCGAGUGCAUGAAGGUGGAAUCGCUAGUAAUCGCGGAUCAGCACGCCGCGGUGAAUACGUUUCCGGGCCUUGUACACACCGCCCGU
RNAcentral lists this ribosomal RNA (506 nucleotides) under uncultured bacterium. RNAcentral describes it as "partial 16S ribosomal RNA". It matches the Rfam family "Bacterial small subunit ribosomal RNA", at positions 899 to 1397 of the family's 1533-position model. The record is from RNAcentral.